AGUGAACGCUGGCGGUAGGCCUAACACAUGCAAGUCGAACGGCAGCACAGUAAGAGCUUGCUCUUACGGGUGGCGACUGGCGGACGGGUGAGGAAUACAUCGGAAUCUACUUUUUCGUGGGGGAUAACGUAGGGAAACUUACGCUAAUACCGCAUACGACCUACGGCUGAAAUCAGGGGAUCUUCGGACCUUUGGCGAUUGAAUGAGCCGAUGUCGGAUUAGCUAGUUGGCGGGGUAAAGGCCCACCAAGGCGACGAUGCGUAGCUGGUCUGAGAGGAUGAUCGGCCACACUGGAACUGAGACACGGUCCAGACUCCUACGGGAGGCAGCAGUGGGGAAUAUUGCGCAAUGGGCGAAAGCCUGAUCCAGCAAUGCCGCGUGGGUGAAGAAGGUCUUCGGGUUGUAAAGCCCUGUUGUUGGGAAAGAACAGCAGCAUGUGAAUACCCCGCUGUUCUGACGGUACCCAAAGAAUAAGCACCGGCUAACUUCGUG
RNAcentral lists this ribosomal RNA (492 nucleotides) under uncultured bacterium. RNAcentral describes it as "partial 16S ribosomal RNA". It matches the Rfam family "Bacterial small subunit ribosomal RNA", at positions 29 to 507 of the family's 1533-position model. The record is from RNAcentral.